This 334-nucleotide long non-coding RNA is filed under the name Anser brachyrhynchus (Pink-footed goose). Its description in RNAcentral is "lncRNA (ENSABRG00000006982.1)". Lineage: Eukaryota; Metazoa; Chordata; Aves; Anseriformes; Anatidae. The record is from RNAcentral.
UAAGAGACCCUCACCUUUUUUCUCUUCCAGCAAAAGCUUGUUUUCACGGUGAUAGCAAGAAAGAGGUACCAGGACUCCCUCAGCAGAAUCUUUCAGAGGAAUGAAGGUUAUAAAAUAUGCUUAUCCAGCCUGUGUAAGCAAGUGUGUAAAUCUGAGUGUUGCAGUUCAAGAAAUCCACUCUGUAAUGCCAAUUAAAGGACUAACCAAACCUCUCGCAUUUAAGUACCUGAACCCUUCCAAACAUACUUAGGGGUGCAGGAUUGCACAUCCUAUUAGGAACCUGCUAAGCUAGCCUGACAUCCUAGCUGGAUUUUUAAGGUACUCUAUGAAGAUU